Molecule: long non-coding RNA, 687 nt
Organism: Armigeres subalbatus
Lineage: Eukaryota; Metazoa; Arthropoda; Insecta; Diptera; Culicidae
Exons: 3
Source: RefSeq, a predicted model, not a curated record
CCGUGUAGAGCGUCAAGAGAAGAAACUGCAAGAAAGCGCGGUGACGUUUUUUAUUUCCAACAAGCAUCAAAAUGGCGCACGAAUCGAUUUCUCCGAAGCUUAAGGCUGGAGUGGCAUCUCCAGUACAUAACAGUCGUCUCCAUUCAUUACGGAUCAUGGCUGUAUGUCGCCAGCUACGCAGUCUACAGAGGGUCCGUGACGUCUUCCACCGCUUCCACCUGAUCGAUUCACCUAGCUCGCUGCGCACCUCGCCUUGUGCCUGUCGGAUAUUUGUCGAGAACCGUUCGCACCGGGUAUUGUCAGACUUGCUGGCGCGGUCUGAACGAUGGAUGGUUCUCCGAAUUCAUAGCUGAUGCAGCAUCUUCAGACGCCUUCUCGUAUCAUCAGCCAUCUGCACCCUACCAUUGUGGCUUGCUGAGUCUAAGCUAACAGCGGAGCGGACAUGUGUGCAGGAAAUUGAAUGCAACGCAACGAUGGCGUCGGUAACAGUUGCAGUGGUAAAUCAUCAGCAUCGGUGGCAAUCGUCCGAGGUGUUUGCUGUACAAAAUUCAUGCGAACGACGGCGAAGGUAGCGGUUCAAGCGAGGGUCGAUGCUGAUGCUAAGAGGUCGAUGCUAAGAGUAAAAUAUCAAUGUACUUAAGACACAGGAAACUAAAAAUAACAAAUAAAAUUCAUUACGAACAGCUA